Non-coding RNA from Pelobates cultripes (western spadefoot toad), 1090 nucleotides. NCBI's taxonomy places the organism in Eukaryota, Metazoa, Chordata, Amphibia, Anura, Pelobatidae. The record is from the annotation of a GenBank genome assembly.
AUUUUUCCUUUUUUUUCCUGGUUAGGGCAGCAAACUAGUGACCUAUGUUAUGUUUGAGACUUAUGUGACAUCUGUCAGCCAUCACAUUGCUAAUAAGGAUUGUUUCUCUAUCUAGGAAAGCAGGUAUCUAACAGGUCCUAUACAAACCAUGGAGAAAUACAGAUUGGAACACGCACUUUUAUGAGGUAUUCACUCCACUGGUGAAUGUGCAGAAUUUAUAAGAGGACCACAUACUGUAGGUCAAAUAGCAGUUGGAAAAUAGCCGAAUUAGAACAUUUAACCCACUUUUUCCCCCCCACAAUUUAAAUAUAUUCAAUAUACACAAUUGGUUAUACACAUGCACACAACCCCAUCAAAACACAAUGUGCCGUUAAUUAAUCAAAGUGUCUUGCCAUCACUUAUUUGCUUACAAUACACGUGACACCUGAAAAACAGUUUGGGACAGGAAUAAAUGCAAGGUGGCCUGUUAUCUAAAUAUCAAGCAACAUGUUGGUUCAGUGGGAGCCUUUAUCAAGCUUGAAAUUGAUAAAGGCUUUCUAAUGGUUCACACAGAACUGAAACGUCACUUGAUUCUAUCCAAUAAAUCUGUCCUGGACCUUAUGUCUGUGCCCAGUCCUUUUUGAUUUAUUUUCACUUGAAUAGUCUGGUUGUCUCUGCACUGGCAGCACAGUUUGGAUUUUUAUGUGUGCCUACCCUACUUUUCUUUCUACUUUGCUGUUAUCUACCUGUCAGUAUUUGCUCUUUCACCUGAGGGUGCGGUGAACAUUCUUCCUGAUUUGUAAAAGCUACGUGGAUUUACAGAUGUGGACUUCCUGAUGCAUAUCCUGGUUAUUCAGUUUUUUAGAGCCAGGGCAAAGGGUUGGAUAAGUGGUUAACAGUAUAUUUGGUUUUGGCCUGCCCACAUGAAGACAUGAACUAACACCUGCAACAAUAAAACCAGAAAGAAAUACAUACUCGGGAUGCAAUUAAAAAAAAUCAUUUCAAAUUUAAAAAUACUGUUUUUAAGCAAUUCUAAACUGAUUGUGAAAAGGGAUUGUCUGCAUUUAAAUAAGACUUGAUGGAUUGGGUAUCUUUCCACACCAGCAUUAAG